AGUGAACGCUGGCGGUAGGCCUAACACAUGCAAGUCGAACGGCAGCACAGUAAGAGCUUGCUCUUACGGGUGGCGAGUGGCGGACGGGUGAGGAAUACAUCGGAAUCUACUUUUUCGUGGGGGAUAACGUAGGGAAACUUACGCUAAUACCGCAUACGACCUACGGGUGAAAGCAGGGGAUCUUCGGACCUUGCGCGAUUGAAUGAGCCGAUGUCGGAUUAGCUAGUUGGCGGGGUAAAGGCCCACCAAGGCGACGAUCCGUAGCUGGUCUGAGAGGAUGAUCAGCCACAAUGGAACUUAGACACGGUCCAGACUCCUACGGGAGGCAGCAGGGGGGAAUAUUGGACAAUGGGCGCAAGCCUGAUCCAGCCAUACCGCGUGGGUGAAGAAGGCCUUCGGGUUGUAAAGCCCUUUUGUUGGGAAAGAAAAGCAGCAGGUUAAUACCCCGCUGUUCUGACGGUACCCAAAGAAUAAGCACCGGCUAACUUCGUG
Molecule: ribosomal RNA, 492 nt
Filed under: uncultured bacterium
Lineage: Bacteria
Description: partial 16S ribosomal RNA
Rfam family: Bacterial small subunit ribosomal RNA
Source: RNAcentral